Molecule: ribosomal RNA, 497 nt
Filed under: uncultured bacterium
Lineage: Bacteria
Description: partial 16S ribosomal RNA
Rfam family: Bacterial small subunit ribosomal RNA
Source: RNAcentral
GAUGAACGCUGGCGGCGUGCCUAAUACAUGCAAGUCGAGCGAACAGACGCGGCGCUUGCUCCUCUGUCGUUAGCGGCGGACGGGUGAGUAACACGUGGAUCACCUACCUAUAAGACUGGGAUAACUUCGGGAAAGCGGCGCUAAUACCGGAUAAUCUCUUGAUCCGCAUUGUUGAAUGGUGAAUGACGGUUUUGCUGUAUCUAAUCGCUGGAUACGCGCCGCUUUAGCUAGUUGGUAAGGUAACGGCGUAUCAAGGCAACGCUGCGUAGCCGAGCGGAGAGGGUGAGCAGCCACACUGGAACUGUGACACGGUCCAUACGCCUACGGGAGGCAGCAGUAGGGAAUCGUCCGGAAGGGGCGAAAGCCAGACGGAGCAACGCCGCGUGAGGGAGGAGGAUCUUCGGAUCGGAAAUCUCUGUUAUUAGGGAAUAACAAAUGUUUAAGUGACUAGGCACGUCUUGACGGUACCUGAGCAGAGAGCCACGGCUAACUACGUU